Molecule: ribosomal RNA, 253 nt
Filed under: uncultured bacterium
Lineage: Bacteria
Description: partial 16S ribosomal RNA
Rfam family: Bacterial small subunit ribosomal RNA
Source: RNAcentral
UACGCAGGGUCCGAGCGUUGUCCGGAAUUACUGGGCGUAAAGGGCUCGUAGGUGGCCAACUAAGUCAGACGUGAAAUCCCUCGGCUUAACCGGGGAACUGCGUCUGAUACUGGAUGGCUUGAGUUUGGGAGAGGGACGCGGAAUUCCAGGUGUAGCGGUGAAAUGCGUAGAUAUCUGGAGGAACACCGGUGGCGAAGGCGGCGUCCUGGACCAACACUGACACUGAGGAGCGAAAGCCAGGGGAGCAAACGGG